Molecule: ribosomal RNA, 666 nt
Filed under: Triticum aestivum (bread wheat)
Lineage: Eukaryota; Viridiplantae; Streptophyta; Magnoliopsida; Poales; Poaceae
Description: partial small subunit ribosomal RNA
Source: RNAcentral
AUGGAUAGCAAGCCUUCUCCAACACCUUAUGAUCCCAGCGUGACACUCAGAAAGAACAAGAAAGAAACGAGAGAUCAAUUAAGAUACUCUCAAAUUGUCGGUUCACUCAUGUACUUAGCUAGCGCUACAAGACCAGAUAUCUCUUUUGCUGUGAGCAAACUGAGUAGGUUCAUGUCCAACCCGGGUGAUGAUCAUUGGCAUGCACUAGAAAGGGUCUUGCGCUAUCUGAGAGGUACUAUGAGUUACGGAAUUACUUAUUCAGGGCAUCCUGCUGUGCUAGAAGGAUAUAGUGAUUCAAAUUGGAUCUCCAAUGUUGAUGUACUUUACGCAACAAGUGGGUAUAUAUUUACUCAUGGUGGUGGCGCAGUGUCAUGGAGGUCUUGCAAGCAAACCAUAUUGACGAGGUCAACUAUGGAAGCAGAAUUAACUGCUUUGGACACAGCUACUGUUGAGGCAGAAUGGCUGCGUGAGCUCUUGAUGGACUUGCCGGUUGUUGAAAAACCUGUACCGGCUAUUCUUAUGAAUUGUGAUAACCAAACGGUUAUCGCUAAAGUGAACAAUUCUAAAGAUAAUGCAAAGUCAUCAAGACACGUGAAAAGACGUUUGAAGUCUGUCAGGAAGUUGAGAAACUCCGGAGUAAUAACUGUUACGUAUAUACAAACAGAC